This 63-nucleotide transfer RNA is filed under the name Dipodomys ordii (Ord's kangaroo rat). It matches the Rfam family "tRNA". From Rfam's summary of the family: Transfer RNA (tRNA) molecules are approximately 80 nucleotides in length. Their secondary structure includes four short double-helical elements and three loops (D, anti-codon, and T loops). Lineage: Eukaryota; Metazoa; Chordata; Mammalia; Rodentia; Heteromyidae. The record is from Rfam by way of RNAcentral.
GGUGGCUCAGUGGUAGAGUGCUUGCCUCGCAUGCAUGAGGCUGAGUUCGAUUCCUCAGCACCA